UGCAAAAGGCACUUCGAUGAACUGUUCACU
This 30-nucleotide non-coding RNA is filed under the name Rattus norvegicus (Norway rat). Lineage: Eukaryota; Metazoa; Chordata; Mammalia; Rodentia; Muridae. The record is from RNAcentral.